This 450-nucleotide ribosomal RNA is filed under the name uncultured bacterium. RNAcentral's name for it is "bacterial SSU rRNA". It matches the Rfam family "Bacterial small subunit ribosomal RNA", at positions 328 to 793 of the family's 1533-position model. The record is from RNAcentral.
CCACCAGACUCCUACGGGAGGCAGCAGUGGGGAAUAUUGCACAAUGGGGGGAACCCUGAUGCAGCGACGCCGCGUGGGCGAAGGAGCGCCUCGGUGCGUAAAGCCCUAUCGGCAGGGAAGAAACAGACGGUACCUGACUAAGAAGCCCCGGCUAACUACGUGCCAGCAGCCGCGGUAAUACGUAGGGGGCAAGCGUUAUCCGGAUUCACUGGGUGUAAAGGGAGCGUAGACGGCGACGCAAGUCUGGAGUGAAAGCCCGGGGCCCAACCCCGGGACUGCUCUGGAAACUGCGGCGCUGGAGUACGGGAGGGGCAGGCGGAAUUCCUGGUGUAGCGGUGAAAUGCGUAGAUAUCAGGAGGAACACCGGCGGCGAAGGCGGCCUGCUGGACCGUGACUGACGUUGAGGCUCGAGAGCGUGGGGAGCAAACAGGAUUAGAUACCCUGGUACUG